GGCUUCAUAGCUCAUUUGGUUGGAGCAUUGCACCGGCAUUGCAGAUGUCAUGGGUUCGAAUCACAUUGAAGAUA
RNAcentral lists this transfer RNA (74 nucleotides) under Acropora cervicornis. RNAcentral describes it as "tRNA-Ala". It matches the Rfam family "tRNA". Rfam says of the family: Transfer RNA (tRNA) molecules are approximately 80 nucleotides in length. The record is from RNAcentral. Lineage: Eukaryota; Metazoa; Cnidaria; Anthozoa; Scleractinia; Acroporidae.